GCCCAUUAAUGAUGUUUGUCCCUUCGUCACUUUGCCCUAGACAUUAGCGUCUCUGACGAAACUUCCUGAAAUUGUGAUCGACGAAUGUCUUUACGUUUCCUUCUCCAUAACGGCGGAUUAAUUCCUAUUUUGCGCCCAGCUUCUGCGUAAUUAACCUACUCUUCCACUCUGCAUCAUUCAAUCGAUUUCAUAGCAUCCCCAAAGUAACCGACUCAAGCUUCGACUAUAAAUAUCCUCAAUUUGAGCCAUGAACAACACAGCUUCGAUGAGAUUAAUAAGAAUAGUCUAUUCUACUUACCGAUUACUGCGAUUGUGAAUUCCUUUAUCUUCCUUGCCGAUUUGAAAGAUGGGCGCUGCUCCAACAUUGCAGAGGUUCAUUUGCUGAGGUUUUGGGAGGCGAGAUGGGUCUUGUGCGAAGAGAUAUUGUGAUACCUAAGCGUUGUACCCGGUAACUAUGAUCCGACAGAUUGCUGCAGGUGGUACUCACUCUAUAGUUUGAUACGCGAAGGUUAUGUGUGGACUUGGGGUCAUCCGUGACAUCCCCAUGACAUUGUUCAAGGUCCUCUGUCGGAGCAUUUUGUAAUGUGGCUCUUGAAUAAGAUGGGAGGCUCUUCGCACAACCCCUCAUCAUGUCCAAGUCCAAGGCCUCGAUGUCGAUGAUCUCACUUUGGUUUGUUUCUUUCUCUUCCUUUUAUUGAUUCAUUUUCUACUCACUAAAACCUUCAAAAGGGGACUAUGUUGUCAACUUAUCUCUCUUUAAACUCAUUUUUAGGUUAAUAUUGAUGCGGGUGGCUUGCAUUCAACUUCUUUAACUGCUAGGUGGACGGUUGGGGAAGAGAGAACACGGAAGACUCGGGUUAGGUGACAAUGACAAGAUCAGCAAAAUAGUUCCACAGAGAGUUAAUCUUCUCCCUGACAAAGAUAUCCUGCAUGUUAUACGUUUCUUGCGGCCUAACACAUUCCGUUGCUUUGAAAAGAGAUGGCAAAAUAUUAUCGACUGCUCUCUUGAAACCCAAGAAAUGUGCUUUAAGGUUUACUUCAUAAGUAAAGAGUCAUUUUCCUAUCAUUAUCUUUGUGAUCAGAUUGGUAGAGGAGAUCAUGGCAGACGGUUAUGGAAGGAAUGUAACACCUGGACAGCCAUUGGAGUUGUUUUUAUAUUUCACCACCUGAAAGAAGCUUUAAUAACGCCAGAAAGAAGUAAGGAAAAUGGUCAGCUGCUUGCGGUGGGCUCCACAGUCUUGCCAUCGUGGAAUGUAUGUCUGAUAAUAUUUGAUCCUCCGGUCACAUAACAAGUUACGAAGACAAGAAAGAAAUAUGUUGCAGGAAUCAAGGCAAAAGGAGAGUAUGCUUCAUUAAAAGGGGGAGGGGAAAGAGAGAAUGUAAUCACCAUUUCAUAGCUAUCGGAAUUGAUACCAGUAAAUGAGGAUAAGCAUGAUGGCACAAGCUCUGGAAGACUGGAACCAUCGGGGUUUAGAUCCUUGCCGCAGGAUAAGCACUGGCUAGCGACUAUGAUAGUGACAUGAGUACAUGACUGGUCAUGAGAAUCACAAACGCACCAGCUCCAAAACUGUCUUUAGCGGCUUGCUUGAUAACCUCGGUUAUAUUCUCUUCAUCUGUUCAUUGAGGAAUUAAGGCACAAAUUAUUAGAAAAGAAAUUUUAUAUCAAUUCAACAUAACUAAAUAUAAUAAACAGUUU
This is a long non-coding RNA of Brassica oleracea var. oleracea, 1696 nucleotides long. RefSeq lists it as uncharacterized. The record is from RefSeq and is a predicted model, not a curated record. The transcript has 5 exons. NCBI's taxonomy places the organism in Eukaryota, Viridiplantae, Streptophyta, Magnoliopsida, Brassicales, Brassicaceae.